UACGGGGGGAGCAAGCGUUGUUCGGAAUCACUGGGCGUAAAGGGAGUCUAGGCGGUUUGGUAAGUGGGAUGUGAAAUGCCCGGGCUCACCCCGGGACCUGCAUCCCAAACUGCUGAGCUUGAGUACAGGAGAGGGUGGGGGAAUUCCAGGUGUAGCGGUGAAAUGCGUAGAUAUCUGGAGGAACACCGGUGGCGAAGGCGGCAUCCUGGACCGAUAUUGACGCUGAGGAGCGAAAGCCAGGGGAGCAAACGGG
Molecule: ribosomal RNA, 253 nt
Filed under: uncultured bacterium
Lineage: Bacteria
Description: partial 16S ribosomal RNA
Rfam family: Bacterial small subunit ribosomal RNA
Source: RNAcentral